Molecule: non-coding RNA, 5453 nt
Organism: Peromyscus maniculatus bairdii (prairie deer mouse)
Lineage: Eukaryota; Metazoa; Chordata; Mammalia; Rodentia; Cricetidae
Source: RefSeq, a predicted model, not a curated record
UCCUGUGCUAAGAUUAAAUAACUCCAUCGGUUAAGUGGCAGCAACCCAGUCCAAACGAUUUUAAGUAAAAAGGUAACUUAUUAGGUCAAAUCAUUACGGAUGGCUUCAGAGAUGGCUGGAGUCUUGGUUAACAGGCCUCCCCUUUUCAGACCUGGAACAUGCUCUCUCCACAAGCAGCCACCACAGUCCCAAACUUCUCAAACUCAACCCCAACAUUCAGCAGAGCCCCCUUGGGAGCAUCUGAGUGCUCCGUUCUGACACAUUCAUUCUUCAUCUGUGAGUCAGUUACAGCAGCCAGAGACUCGGGAUUCUGACUGGCAGUCUUGGGCGGGGUGGCCCAGGCGGAAGAGGGCUCCGCUCUACCUGCAGCACACAGAACAGAGUUCCCUAGGGCAUGUGGCGGGGGGGAGGAAGUGUGCACAUGAGCAGUCCAAAUAUGGCUUUCUACCCCUGCCCCUUACCCUCAACUCAUAUCUCUCAUUCAUCAUAAUUGAUCCUAAAAGUUAGUGAACAAAAGAGUAGUUUAUUCUAGACGAGUGGACAAGGAAGGCAGUGGCUGAAGAGUUUGGAGAAUAUGGGGUUCAGAGUGGUUCCUUGGUAGACAGCCCCUUCAUAGGCUGGGAAUCUUGGGACUCCCCCAUUCCCAGGGCUGGUGUAACAGAGAGCACUGUGGUGCAGGGUCACCUUGACCACCGCCUGGUGACCGACCGCAUCUCUGAUGGCUGGAACUCAGAAGCCUGACAUCAGGCAGGGGCUCUCCCUGUCCUGUGUCUGAUUGUGGCCUCUCUUUCUCAAUCUUUCCCUGGACCGUUCUGCUUCCACUGGGCAGCCCACAGUUUCUUGCAAACUGACCAGCUCAUCAGAGUGGAACCUUCCAGAUCAAAAAGGGAAUUUUUAUCCUUUUGAGACAGGGCUUCGUAUAGGCCAGACUAGACUCAAACUUGAUUUGUAGCCAGGACGACCUUGAAUUUCUGAUCCACCUACCAAGGUGGAUCUCCCGAGUGCUGGGAUUAUAGGCUCAUGCAAUCACACCCCAUUAAAGUGCCAGGCUUGAGCCCAAUGCUUACGGUAGCUCUGCAAGCGCUCGACUGACUGAGCCACAUCCCCACUCCCAAAGAAGACAUCUCUAAGAAUAUUUUGUCUAUUGGUUUGUUAAUUGUUGGGCAACAAAUUACUAGUAAGAGGGCAACUUUAGACAAUACAGGCAUUUAUCCUCUCUUACUGUCCUGAUGAGAUCAGGUAGCUCAAUGGUGUCUUCCCAGCGGGCCCCAGGAGGCUGCAAUCCAGUGUUAGGCAGACUGCAAUCUCACUGGGAGGCUUGACUGAGGAGAGGAGAGGGUCGUUUCCAACCUCUUGUAGACAGUGUGUAGAAUUCAUUCCUUUGUGACUGCAUAAGGGAGGGUCUUGGCUUUAUUUUUCCUGUGGGUUGGGGGACCAUCCCCUGAGAUCCAAAGUCUCCCUUCCACAGCUCUUUGCCACAUGGGCCCCCAGCACAGGAGUGCUUGUUUAUAAGCCAGCACAGAGGACCUCCUUCCAGACGUCACACGGCAUUUAUAAAGGACCAGAGCUGUGAGACUGACAUCUUCCCUCUCUUGCUGUUUAUACCACAAUGAGACCACAAGAAGGAUGUCCCAUGUCCUCUACUGGAGUGUAACAGUUAGACGCAGCCACCAUUCUAUGAGGGAGUCAACCAAAAAAGAGUAGAUGCUCCAGUGGAGGGCAAACUGAAAAGACCCGGGAUCACGCGGAUAGAAGUCGCCGAUGGCAGCCAAGCCAGGAACAAGGACCCGUGUCUUCAUAGUAGCUCUGCUGGCCUCACAGUGGCUGGCUCUCUGGACCCCGUGACAGCUGCCCGACUUUUGCUCCUGUCCCAUCUGUCUUCCUCAGCGGCAGCAACCAGGCAGCUGCCGCCUCCCUCUCUUCCUCUCCAUGCUCUUCUUCCUCCCUCCACAGGCACAUGUGGGGUUCUGGAGCUCUCCAUGCCCCCCAGGAACUGAGGAAGACUCUGUCAUGUUGUCACCUAUGGUUUUGGUUUGAACACCCUGCCCAAGACGCUCCGUCUUUCAAAGCGGCUAAUGGAGGCACCUCCUAUCUCCCAGGGCCGCGCUGUCAGGACAGAGUGAGCUGCUGUUGGCCCAGCCUUUCGCUUGGCAUCUGGUGAGCUGUCAUGUGAUGCUGGCAUUGGUUAAAUGAAGCACAUUACACGGCGAAGCGAGGGUGACCUUGGCAGUAAGUUAGAAAUACAUCACUUUACAUUCCAGCCUCAGCUGUCACAAACCCCUCAGCUCCCGACAGUCCCCCACAGUUGGACCCGCUCACUCAUGUGCUUUCCUAGUGGUCCUUUGACCUUGUGAUGGCAACAGGAGUCUGGCCACAUAGGUCCCUGCUGCACACUCGACCUCUUAGUGCUACCAGGCUACUCUGUCCUGUCCUCUUCAGACAGACCCUUUCCUCCAUUUCCCAAGAACCUCUUCUCCAGUGAGCCCCUCACCAAAGCGGCUUCCUUCAACCUCGGGCCCUUCCCCUGCUUCUCCUAACUUCUGGACCGCGCUCCCUAGACAGCCCACCCUUUCUGUAGCCGCCUCCUACUCACCCCUUGGGUGUUGGCUGGCAUAUCACUCCUGCAAAGAAGACUUUCUGGCCCUACACAGAAAGAAGAGAUCUUGAGAGAGGGGGGCACAUCGCUGCUGCUGUGUUUAACUAUUGUAUCAAGGAGACUGCCAAAGCCAGGCAUGGCGCACGCCUUCGAGCUCAGUGUUUGAGAGGCAGAGGCAGGUGGAUCUCUGUGAGUUCUAGGCCAAGCUGGUCUACAUAGUGAGACCCUGUAUCAAUAAGCAAACAAGCAAACAAAAAAUGAUGAUAGGUUAUAAUAAUGAUAAUGAUGAUAAUGGCUGGAAGGUAUUACCAGAGUUUACUUGAUUGCCACAUACAUGCUGAGUCCCUGUCAGAGUCCAGACAGUUGUCCUGGCCUUAACUCUACAGCAGUGAACAGUACAGACAGAACCCGUGCUCUUGGUGAAUGCUCUCUGUAGUGAUUAUUUGAUUUUGCCUGACUAUCAGCCCCACAAGGAUAGGCACCCCAUGCCAGCCUUUGCAGCUCUCUGUUUCCCUGGUCUCUAACUUGCACAGUGCCUGGCCCCUGGGAUUCAACACCUUUUUGUUGGGGACAAGCCAAAAGACCAUGGCUGUCUUCCUUGAGAGAGGAGACGGGAUUUGGGGCACGGUCUCUUGUGAGGCACACAAAGGUCUGCUCUAAACUAAGGGCUGGCAGGAAAUGGAGGUGCUGACAAGCAGUUUGACAGGUUAAAAGAGAGGCAGCCCCACCCAGGCUGGCGGAAGGUGGUUGUGGUUUCUUUGGUAAGCAAUCACCCCCAUCUCUUGCUCUUUGCCUCUGGUUCCUCUGGCCAUGUAACCAGGCAAAUCUUCCAGAUUAGCUGAGCCUCUUUUGGGGGAUGGGAAGGGGCAUUCCUUCUUGUGUGGAUAGCGCUGUGACUCAUCUGGGGAAACAGUUUCAAGCCAGUGGUUCACCCCAGGCUAGUUCUUGUCUCAUUUCCCCGAGGGCCAAUCGGCCUCUUAAUUUCACUCUGAGGUUUAGAGUUUCCCUCCAGCACUCAGAGACUCAGCCAGGAUGCUUUGCAUAAGUGUGGGAAGCCUUGGAGCUUGGAGAGGGAAUAGCCUGGGGAACCGGGAGGCUGCCGGGGAUGCUCCUGCAGACCCUUCCUUUGAAGGAUGUGGCUUCCAGCCUCAUGCAAGCCCAGUGAUCUCUUCCUAGGCACUUUGUAAAAGAUUCCAACAGAAGAAAAGCCAAAGGAGGCAUAUAGCUGUCCAUCCCCGUGAGCAAGUUGGGGAGAGGGACGAGCAUGAAAGUGCAGGUGACCCUAGGCAAAUGACAAGUGGCAGACUCUAUCUUUUGCAUGGAGCAGCCGUGGGGCUUGAUCGGCAGCCCACAUUUCAUAAUUUGUGGGGGAGGGUAGGAAUAGUUUGAGACAGGAUCUCCAGCAGCCCGGACCACGGGGUCUGGAACUCACUAUGUAUUGAAGGAUGACCUUGAAUUUCUGAUCCUCCUGCCUCUACCCCCCAUGGAUCAUGCCCCCUCCCCCACUACAAAUGCUUUGUAAAUAAGUUGGAAGAGCCUAGCUCUCUGAGCACAUUCUCCUGGUUCUGGGCCGGGCUCCAUCAUUUCCGUCCCAUUAACAAUGGUUUCUUCCCCCCAUGGGUCGGCCCUGUAUUGGACACCUGCAGUACAAGGCCCAAAGGAGGUAAUGACUGCUCAUUUGUCCCUGAGAAAGGCUGGGAACGCCUCUGAUCUGUGUUUUUCCUGUAUGGAAAUCUCCUGUGCCUACUUCAGUUUCAUGAGGGAUGGAUGACACCAGGCAGGCUGUUCGCCUGACAGACAUCACCUUCAGCUGCUUGUGAACAACCUGCUUGCUAGAUGGCUAGAUGCCUCGUGGCCUUGCCAGAAUCCCUGAAGCCUCCCAGCAGCUCCAACGGAGUCUGCCCUCUGCUUUUCCCAGGAGCGUCAGCUGAACCACAAGUAUCUGUGACUUGUUCCUUGUGUUUGUUUCCUUUUGCAACCCAAAUUGACCAUUCCUCGAUACAGUGGAAUAUUGUGAAAUUUAGAGGGGGAAAUCCUGUGAAAACAGGAUGGUUGCUCUUCGGUUUGUGUUUUCGCUCCACAAGAAACAGCGAGACUAGAAAUGACCUCUUGUGGGUUUGGCUUCCUCGGGAAAGGCGCUUUCAAAUGACAGGCUGUGUGCAGGCCAGAGGAAGAUGCUAAGAUGUCCUGCCCUGGCACUCGGCUGUGUUCCUUCUGACAGGGUCUCUCACUGAACUUGGAGCUAGGCUGGUGGCCACAAGUCCCAGUGACCCCUGUCUUCAUCCCUCACAGUGCUGGCUGGGGUCACAUUGGUAAACGUGAGGUUACGUUGGGUCCUAUCUCUCCUGCUGGCUUGGACGAUCGGACAACCACGUAGCUCAGUUUUGGUGACGUGAAACUUCAGUAUAAGUUAACCAUGCUGAUGACUCUGCACCAUCAGCACUCAACAUGGAAUCCUAGUCCAAGACCUCCUCUAAUUUAUGUGCAAGCACAUCAUUCCAAGCAGCUGAGGCUAAUGACAUUGUGCUUUCUAUGAUUGCUUUUGUCCAAGUGGCCCUGAAUGCAAGCAAUCAUCAAAUGCAAGAGAAUGUGUCUUGGACCUCCGAAGUUUCCCUGUGAGCCAGGCAGGGCAUCAGGCUGAUUCAGCCACAGAGAGUUCUGAGAAGCUCAAGGUAGGGAAGGUUUCAUGGUCACAGGCUCCCUAGGGAGGGCAUCUGCUCCACAGUCCCACUGCCAGGUAGUGGCCCAGGCUGCCAUCUGAAGACACAUCACUGAGACCAGAACCUCGAUGGUUUUGAAUGACUUCUGGCAAGCCUGCUUGGCUCUCACUCUUCUUCACUCUUUGAAGUGUCCUCCU